RNAcentral lists this long non-coding RNA (653 nucleotides) under Bos taurus (domestic cattle). RNAcentral's name for it is "long non-coding RNA NONBTAT015460". The record is from RNAcentral. Lineage: Eukaryota; Metazoa; Chordata; Mammalia; Artiodactyla; Bovidae.
ACAGACAAGACGUAUAAUUUUUAUGGAAUUACAUGAUAAUCAUAUUCGGAUUUAUAGAAGCAUUUUACAAGUAUUGCAAUCAUUGGGUAGAGAUAAUCAUGGUAUUUUCAUCCGCUUGGUACUUUUUGAAACAUGACCAUGUUGUGUAAGCAACCUGCAAUUUUUCAGUCCGUGAGAGCCCGCCCUCCCAUUUUUUUCCCGAUCCCCAAGGAUUCUCUCAAAUCAAUAUCUUUAGUUUUCUUUUUUUUGUCUCCAAGGCCCAGGACACUUGUCAAAAGGACCUGCAGCAAGUGGUCCCCAGUAGUUUUGCUGACAUAGUUAACAAUUUCCACGUGUGCAGUGCAGGCCUUCAUAUGGCACGCACUUUAGUAAAGCUCUCAACUCACUGCUGUGAACCUGCCAAUCCGCUGUAACAACUCUGCUUUAAGACAAAACCAGACAAAACUUAAAAAAAAAAAAGUGUUUGUGAUCCAGCUUUUCUCUUGUCAUCCAAUGUGCAUGCAGUAAGAUCGGUUGGAUAUUAAACCAUCAAUAAAGUUUCACAAGAUUUGAAAACCGAGUUUCUGUAGCUUUGCUAUCUAAGAUCACCGUGUUAUGACAACGGGUGCCUGGUUGAUGUUUUUGAGGGAAAGGACAUAUUGAGAUGCUGCGGC